GCUGGUUUCGCUCAGUGGGUAGAGCAUCAGCUUUUAGACUGAAGGGUCCCAGGUUCCAUUCUGGGAAAGGGCA
Molecule: non-coding RNA, 73 nt
Organism: Myotis lucifugus (little brown bat)
Lineage: Eukaryota; Metazoa; Chordata; Mammalia; Chiroptera; Vespertilionidae
Source: Rfam